Molecule: ribosomal RNA, 320 nt
Filed under: Alexandrium margalefii
Lineage: Eukaryota; Dinophyceae; Gonyaulacales; Pyrocystaceae
Description: partial Bacterial large subunit ribosomal RNA
Rfam family: Bacterial large subunit ribosomal RNA
Source: RNAcentral
GUACUCCCCGAAAUGCUUUUACGAGCAGCGUGGAGGUUAAGUCUAACGGAGGUAGAGCUACCAAUAGGACUAGGGGGAGUCAAAUCCUACCAAAUCCUGAUGAACUCCGAAUGCCGUUAGAUAUACUCCGCAGUGAGGGCAUGGGUGCUAAGGUCCUUGUCCGAGAGGGAAAGAACCCAGAUCACCGGCUAAGGUCCCAAAGUAUAUGCUAAGUUGAUAUAACGCGGUGGAACUGCAUUGACAGCCAGGAUGUUGGCUUGGAAGCAGCCAUUCAUUUAAAGAGUGCGUAACAGCUCACUGGUCGAGCGACAGGGCAUCGA